Molecule: long non-coding RNA, 1558 nt
Organism: Carassius auratus (goldfish)
Lineage: Eukaryota; Metazoa; Chordata; Actinopteri; Cypriniformes; Cyprinidae
Exons: 2
Source: RefSeq, a predicted model, not a curated record
AAUGUUCUUUUUAUGUUUGGAAGGCUACUUCGCAUAGUGUUGCCAUGUCCACUUACUAUAAGCAGCACUUAUUAUUUAUCUUUGGGCUUGUUGUUUGUGCUCAGCUCAUAAAGCAAACCAGUUUAAUAAAAUAGGCUUUGGUGUGUAGCUUACAUAAGAGUUUUGAUUUAAGUUGAUAAGAGGCUUGUUCUUAUUUGCCAUUGUCUUUUGCUAGCAAGAUCUGGCGACACUAAUAAGCCAAGACGUACUUCAAUCACGGAGAUUUCUUGAGCAGUGCAUACAGACCUUUUUCCUGAGUAAACGAAGAGUGCCGCCAUUACGAAUUCUAACUUCUGAUUGGAUGCUCUUCUGUUCCGGUCUCCAUAGGAACCCAUUCAAAUAGUGCCCAUCCAUUUUUACUGUAGCUAAUGGAAGCUUUGUCUCAUCAUGCGUUUAAAAAACAACUAGUUGUUGUUCUGUACACACGGUGUAGAAUUUCUGUAAAAGCGGUUGCCUCUACCUAAAUUUUCCACAGUUCUUUUGUAGAAUGUGGUUGUCACUCCUGUAAAUGACUGAAGUGUGUGUACACAACAGGAUUAAGCACUAAAGAGUGAAUUGACAACCAAAUUUAGCUGCGGCAGCCUACGUUUUUAUUUUUAGGUUUCAGGUUACAUCGACAAACAAACAGCAGCUAUAUCACUGAACCAGAUCAGGGAGUAGAGUUAAAUUUAGUGUAUUUGCAUGCUAACGGUUUCCUCUUUCGUGGAUGUCAGCAUCAAUUUAGAGACUAACAAUAUGAACUUCCCAUCAUAUUUGAACCAAAACUCCUGCUUCUGCAUUCUGCUCUAAUCCACAGCAACAGUGCUGAUGUGAUGAUUCAGUUCUGCUGGAACUAAUGGCAGACGAAGCGGUGACUAGCACAAUGAACGCUCUGAUGAUUUAGCAUGUCGGGCAUGAACCCAACUUCAACCUCCAACCUUCCUUCACCGGAUGGAUCUCUCCAUUUUUCAUUACUUAACCCCCUUCUUUUUUUAUUUUUUAUCUUCCAAAUCCACCGUAGUCAUUGCACUGCAGAGCAAAAUUAAAUAUGCCCACAUCUUCUCCACCAGUGCUGACCAGAGUUCAGAGAGGAAAGGGAGGAGGGAAAGACUGGCAAAGGUGCAUUACAUAAUCCCAUUGUGAGAUUUCACGGACCUUGUCUUAUAAUAUUUUUACAAAGACUGAAUUUCCUUCUCCCCAGGGAUCUGAAGACCAACUCCUCCAUCUGAUCUGGCAGAGUCAGGUCAAUUUUAUGCUGAUUUUAUGGGUGAGCGGAUGGGAACCACUGCCAGGGAGAGAAAGAGGAACACGAGGGACAGAGAGGGAAAGAGAACAGAAAGAAGAGAUACGCACGGAGACCGAGGGGAUGAUGGUGGAGAUCUGACAGGAAGCGAGUGAGAGACAGAGAGGGAUGUGAUCGGGAGAGGUUCACGAAAUGAGUUCGAAAUGGGAUUCGAACUCGGGACACCUUAAGUGCAACUUCACCAAUUUACCAACUGUUCUGUUCUUUGUUCAAAUAAAUGCACCCUCGGUGAACAUA